Molecule: long non-coding RNA, 855 nt
Organism: Gallus gallus (chicken)
Lineage: Eukaryota; Metazoa; Chordata; Aves; Galliformes; Phasianidae
Source: Ensembl
GCUUAGUGGUGUAAAUACUAAUAGUCAUUGGUGAUUCCGAUGAGCUUCAUGACCUUGAUUUUGUGCGAAGUAUGCUUAGAAGCACAAAUACUCCCAGCCUUUUAUGCUUAAGUGCAGCACAAAGGUCACAUGUUUUGUAAGGAACAGAGUCAGAGAGACACAUUUCUGGAUGAGAGUGAUACAAACGAUCGUAAUAACCCUGCGCAAAGGUUUCCAGGCCGCACUGCCACUCAGCCCAUUCAGCGCUCUUAAAUUAACAGCACUUCUUCAGCGUGCGUUCGUCAGAGCUGCUCCUUGAAGCUUUUGUUCCACCCUUGUUAUUUGUUAAAAAAAAUUAAAUAAAAUAGGAACCAGACAGUGCCAAAGAAAAUUUACCAUGUAAUUAUUUAAGAGAGAUUGUGAGCGGUUUGGAUACUUGUAGUGAAACUGAUGUCUUCAUCUCUGGUACGCAAAUGUGUUUCAGAUGGUAUGUGCCAUGCAGUAACAGGUUUUUUAAAAAUGGUGUUUUAGCAGAGCUGAUGGAAUAGCUGCUUCCUUCUCGGUGGUACGUUUUUAAUUCAGACUCCACCGUAACAAGAAUACGCUAAUUGGGUAGCUGAGCAACUCGACUCAUUAGAUGCAAUGCUUACUGAUUCAAUUUAACCAUUACGGGGUAUCUCAGUACAUGAUUCAGAACUACUUUUCUUUUAAUUCAGCGUUCUGUUCCUCGGAAGGAAAUUAAUUUUGCUUAAGAUUACUUCAAUAAACCUCUGAUAAUAAAGCUAUAAUUAAAGAGGUUACCUGUAAGAGCUUUUUACUGGUAUUUUUACUUGUAAUAUUACAUAUUGCUUAAAUAUGUAUUUGAAUGUAAAAGCC